This is a long non-coding RNA of Lathyrus oleraceus (garden pea), 815 nucleotides long. RefSeq lists it as uncharacterized. The transcript is spliced from 2 exons. NCBI's taxonomy places the organism in Eukaryota, Viridiplantae, Streptophyta, Magnoliopsida, Fabales, Fabaceae. The record is from RefSeq and is a predicted model, not a curated record.
GUCAGUCCAACAAUGAAAUUAUUAAAGUACAAAAAUGAAAGGAUCAACCCUAAAUUGAAAUUUCAUUCUCUCUCUUCAAAAAAAAAACGAUCAUGCUCUACAACCCGCAUCCCCUUCUCCGGUCUGUCCUGUCGGAGAAGACAGUGGUUGUCGGACAUGGACAGCGGUACCACAUUCUUCUUCGGCGAACCACCGCUCCCAAACCCAAACUGUAACCCCCCAUCCCCCACCCCUCAUUUCUUCUCUACUAUCCAAAUUUGGCCUCGUUCUAACCUAAAUCCUCCUUAAAUGGCUGGAUCGACUCUAACAAAGUCCAAAUCACUUAAGCCACGACAAAAACCAUCCUCAUAAAACGAAACCUAGCUCAAAAAAUCCCUUUAAACAUAAACCAAAACAAGAUUUCCAACAUUCAACAGUCAAAAAGAUGAAACCCUAAAUUUGAAAUUAAACUCCAAACAGCAGGAAUUUCACGAAAUUGUCAUGGGGGUUCCUCAUAAAUUAACACGGCGAAAACGAUGGCCCCAAGAAAACAGAGAAGAGAUCAACGACUCACCAAAUCGGAGCUAGUCCGAUGAACUCUCCGACGAACCGAGCUUCUUUUUCUACAGGCAAAAACUGAAAAGCAGGGGUUGCACCAAUAGCCUAAUGGUAGAUGCAAGGACAAAAUCGACUCUAGGACUGCUUGAGCCAAUGCAUUGGAGGCUCUCUAAUUGACUUGGUUUUGUUCUUUUUCUUGUAAUUUCUUGGGAUUUUGGUUUGUAAAGAUACCAUGUUAGGGCCAUAGGUUAUUAGUAAAGAUGUCACCUUUCGUGUUC